This 74-nucleotide transfer RNA is filed under the name Oryza coarctata. RNAcentral's name for it is "tRNA-Leu". It matches the Rfam family "tRNA". From Rfam's summary of the family: Transfer RNA (tRNA) molecules are approximately 80 nucleotides in length. Their secondary structure includes four short double-helical elements and three loops (D, anti-codon, and T loops). Further hydrogen bonds mediate the characteristic L-shaped molecular structure. tRNAs have two regions of fundamental functional importance: the anti-codon, which is responsible for specific mRNA codon recognition, and the 3' end, to which the tRNAs corresponding amino acid is attached (by aminoacyl-tRNA synthetases). tRNAs cope with the degeneracy of the genetic code in two manners: having more than one tRNA (with a specific anti-codon) for a particular amino acid; and 'wobble' base-pairing, i.e. permitting non-standard base-pairing at the 3rd anti-codon position. The record is from RNAcentral. Lineage: Eukaryota; Viridiplantae; Streptophyta; Magnoliopsida; Poales; Poaceae.
GCAUCUAUGGUUGAAUGGUUAAAGCACUCAACUCAUAACUAGUAAAUUUGCAAGUUCAAUUCUUGCUAGAUGCA